GUGAAACACGGGGACGGGUCGUACACGGUGUACGCGAGCUCGGGGCAGAUUAGAUGUUUUGAGUGUGGAGACGUGGGUCACAAACGCUUCACGUGUCCGCAUAAGGAGCAGCAAAGUGCGGAAGCCCUGGCCGUGGACGCGGCUGACUGGUCAGAGGACACUCCUCAGCCCUGAAGAUGAGGAUUCCCUGGUGGAGUACUGCUUGUACUCUGCAGGUUAUGGGUUUCCACUGACGAUGCCUCCGGUCCUGGCCCACGCUCUGGCCAUUUAUAAUCACCGCCAUCAAGCCUCACCCAGGACCGUGCUUGCCCUUCACCCCAACAUCCCCUUUCCCCAGCCUGCCUGCUGAGGAACACUGCCACCUUCUCCCGUCUCCUGAGCCUUCCACAUCGGCAGCGGGAUGUGACCAAAGGCCUUCCUCUCCCUCUCACUCGUUCCAACCUGCAGAGACCAGACCAUCAUCAUCCAGCUCCUCGUCUGCUGGACCCACGACAUCCACCGGU
Long non-coding RNA from Cyclopterus lumpus (lumpfish), 503 nucleotides. RefSeq lists it as uncharacterized. The transcript has 3 exons. NCBI's taxonomy places the organism in Eukaryota, Metazoa, Chordata, Actinopteri, Perciformes, Cyclopteridae. The record is from RefSeq and is a predicted model, not a curated record.